CCCUCUGCUCUAUCAGCCCGCGCAGGCGCAGUAGCUUCUCUGUGCGCUCUACUGUUUGCAUUGUGUCUGAACUGCCGGCGAGCUUUAAAAAUAUUAUACCCACCGCGGCAAUGUCGGGCAGGUCAGUCCGAGCUGAGACCCGGAGCAGGGCGAAAGAUGACAUCAAAAGGGUUAUGGCCGCAAUUGAGAAAGUACGAAAAUGGGAGAAGAAAUGGGUGACGGUUGGAGACACGUCCCUUCGCAUCUACAAGUGGGUGCCAGUGACGGAGCCCAAAUCAGACGACAAGAACAAAAAUAAGAAGAAGGGUAAAGAUGAGAAAUACGGCUCUGAGUUGACGACUCCAGAGAACAGCUCCUCUCCAGGGAUGAUGGACAUGCAUGAUGACAACAGCAACCAGAGCUCCAUCGCCGACUCGUCCCCGGUGAAACAGGAAAACAGUUGUAGCACCAGCCCGGCCCCAGAGCCCGCCGCCACGUCUCACCGCGAGAGCAGCGAGGCCAAGACUGACCAGAGCCCGGACAGCAAGAGGGGUAAGACCACACCUUCAUCAGAGACCUCAGAGAGAGGACAAAGUGCCAAGAGAGACAGCCUGUCCUCGGGGGAGAAGGACUCCACAGACAGCAAAGCCACUCAGGACCUAGAGGAGGAGGCCCCGCCCAGCAAGAAAAGCAAAUCGGAGUCCUCGUCUCAGGACUUUGAAGAGAGUUAAAUGUUUGGGGCUGAGUCAUCCCUCUCCUCCCUCUCCUCCCUCCUCCUCCUCCCUCCAUUAACUCUAGAUAAUUUAGGGCUAAUGGAUGCACCGGCUCUCCUCUCACUCCCCCACCUCCCCUUCUCGAUACCAAAGGGAGAAUGGACGUCCAUCUCUCUCCCCCCCACCCCACCUUUGCCCUAACACUCCUCUGCCACAGAGGGAGAAUGGAUAUUACCUCUAUUCACUGGUCCCCUCCGUGCUUCCUUCCAGUUCUACACUUUUUUUCACGAAUGCCAAGAGAAGCUCUGAACCCGGGCUGCAAUCCCCUCCAUGACCAGGGGCGGCGCCGUCCGCCGAGCCCCGCCACCGAGCCCCGCCACCGCCAGGCCAGGCGACAAACACUGACCUGCAUCUGUGACUAAAAAGAGUUAACACUGGGGAUCUGAGAUUAGGACGAGGUUGAUCACCGGGCGCUGCUCUGAGACCGUUUUUUAAAAACGUUUUACUGCUAACGGUUUAGCUCUAAAGAGGCUAACCUGGUCUCAGACCAGCGGCUGCGGGGGGAACCUCCACCCUAAGACCACGUCACUUCAAUCCUCCCGAUCCGCCUCCUGUUAGAUCUAAUGUUCGACAUUUGUUUAGGAAACGUUUUUAGGGUUUUUUUCUCAGGAGGGUCAAUGCACUGUUAUGGUAUGUCACAAUCGAUCACAGAUAGAUUUGCUGCUGUAGUGAAAGUCUUUUUUCUCUAUCCAUGAAAAGUUCUCCAUUCACAUGUUGUCGUUUGUUUUUUUUUUAAAGUGAGUUAGUUUGUGGUUUUUGUAGACUAAGAAGAAGAUGGUACUGGUCAAGAUAAACUCUUGGAUAAGUAGUGAAGACGGGCGUAGGUAGCGUAGAUCAUGAAGGUGUGCCUUGAGUUGCCACGAUUAAAUACACAUUUUAGUUCAAGCCGGUUUUGGAUUACAAUUUUGGUGCCAUGUUAUUGUUUUUUUUAAUGCCUUAUAAUCAUCACUAAUUAGUCUUUUCCAAUAUGUAUAUUCAACUACAACACUUGUUUUAUAUUUGAAGGAAUUGUUUGACAUUUUGGGAGGUAUUUUCUCUCUUACCGAGAGGAUGGAUCUCGUGUCUUUUCCCCCCCCCCCCCCCCCCAAAAUGUGGAACUCUCCCUUUUUCAAACAGUUGGAGACUGGAAUUUGAACACUACCCAGAAGAACUUUUAGUUUUAUCUUCUGAACAUUUUAACAUUUGCAAACCUCAUAAUUCAGAGUUCCCGGUCGCUGGUCUGUGUCGACUUCAGGGGGCGUAUUUUUUCCCCCCUCCCUCUAAAGUAGAAACGGACCAGUUACAGGGAACUGGUUUUCCCGUCUGGUCCGCCAUCAUGACUUGUAUUUAAUCACUUCUCAUCUCUGUGUGUCACUACUUAUCUUUGGCAGAGGGGUCCAGUCUUUUAGCUGAAGCAUUGGUUCUAAUCCUCCUUCAAGGUGCUGUCUUUUGGCUAAAUCUAUACACGUGUGGCAUCAAGCUCUCGGUUUUGUGCAGAUCUGUGCAAUUUACUUGAACUCCUAUAUAGUGUGGAUUCAGACCUGUGACCUCUUAAUGUUCAGCCUCACACAUGUAAGAUUUAGUUUCAUUAAUAUUUACUCGUGAAUAUGGAUUGGAAUCAAUUGAAAACUCUGCAAACCAAUGACUUCAUGACAUAACAGGGGCUAUAAGAAGUACUUUAUGACGCAGAAUUACUUGAUCAGAUUUCAACAAAUCAGCAUUCACAUGGAUGGAGAGAAAAGAAAAAAAAAAAAAAAAAAAAUGGUCUCAGUUUAGAGGAUGGAUUAGCAUAUACCUCAUUCCCAGUCCAGCAGCGCUGGAACUUAAAAUGCUAUUGUAUUGACAUUAACAGUUAUAAACAGCAUUAUGUACACUCAGUUUAAAAACAAAAGAUCUCACUUAUGUUGUAGCUUUCACCUGAUUGAGCCGAUUGCUUAUAGUUUGCUCAUAACUGUUUAAAAAAAAAAAGAGAGAAAAAAAAGUGAGAUAUAAAAUCCUGUAUGUUUUUUUCUUUCCUAGGGACCAUUUUGUUUUACUUUAGAUCUUGUACAGAUUUAUGGUUUGGUUUGACUUAUUUAUUCCAUCAGUAGUGCUUGGUUUUUAUCAUGUCCAAUGGUUUUGUUUUCUUAAUAAAAUUCACAAAAGUU
This is an RNA transcript of Sander lucioperca (pikeperch), 2878 nucleotides long. It is a transcript of the gene named BAF chromatin remodeling complex subunit BCL7A, with no coding region annotated. The transcript is spliced from 7 exons. The record is from RefSeq and is a predicted model, not a curated record. Lineage: Eukaryota; Metazoa; Chordata; Actinopteri; Perciformes; Percidae.